Molecule: ribosomal RNA, 253 nt
Filed under: uncultured bacterium
Lineage: Bacteria
Description: partial 16S ribosomal RNA
Rfam family: Bacterial small subunit ribosomal RNA
Source: RNAcentral
UACGGAGGGCGCAAGCGUUACUCGGAAUCACUGGGCGUAAAGAGCGUGUAGGCGGAUAAAUAAGUCAGAAGUGAAAUCCAAUAGCUCAACUAUUGAACUGCUUUUGAAACUGUUUAUCUAGAGUAUGGGAGAGGUAGAUGGAAUUUCUGGUGUAGGGGUAAAAUCCGUAGAGAUCAGAAGGAAUACCGAUUGCGAAGGCGAUCUACUGGAACAUAACUGACGCUGAGACGCGAAAGCGUGGGGAGCAAACAGG